Molecule: long non-coding RNA, 464 nt
Organism: Herpailurus yagouaroundi (jaguarundi)
Lineage: Eukaryota; Metazoa; Chordata; Mammalia; Carnivora; Felidae
Exons: 3
Source: RefSeq, a predicted model, not a curated record
GUCAGAGCUGCUGCUUAGCACAUACUCGUUAGCUUGCACUGUUUGAGGCUCCCCACAAUAUUCGGGGGGGGGGGGGACAGCGAUCAUUUGGUAUGAGAAAAUGAUGCUGGAAGAAUACCCCGUCAGCCUGUGAUACCCGGGCGUCACUCUACAGCCAGAUCCCAAUUCAUCCAGAAGCUCCCAAGCCCGUCUUCGAUGCCCACGUGUCCUGGCCCUGGGGUCCACUCCUAUCUCGCACACGCCACCUUCUCCGUUCUCUGCACUGAGGCCAGUGCCUCGUCUCUGGCGAUUCUCCAGGACAGUCUAGUUUCUUCAUCCACAGGCAGGGAUCAGCACCUUCUGAGUAUGUGAGGACGCCAUUUGCAGAUCCAAAGUUCUCCUGGACACUCUCUCGCCUCAGGACUCUGAAUAUAAAGACAGAUACCAUAUGUUUUCAUCCUAUGUGGAUCCUGAGAAACUUAACA